This 473-nucleotide non-coding RNA is filed under the name Pan troglodytes (chimpanzee). Lineage: Eukaryota; Metazoa; Chordata; Mammalia; Primates; Hominidae. The record is from RNAcentral.
GGCUACUAGAAAAUUUAGCUGGGUGAGGUGGUUCACACCUGUAAUCCCAGCACUUUGGGAGGCCAAGACAUUUCCCUACAUACCUAGAAUUUUGUUUACGAUGAACAGAAUGUUGGGUAAGAGUCUCUUGAGCUGAAACAGUUACACCCCCGCAGCUGGGAAAAGCUAUUCCCUCUGCGUUAGGCCAACGGGAAGCCCACACCUCCUGAUACAACCCAUACCACGGUUGCCUUCCCUCCUGGAUGUCACAGAGAAGGAUUUAAAAAUGACUCCCGGCCAGCAUGGUGUCUCACGCUCAUCACAUUGGGAGGCCUAGACGGGAAGAUCGCUUGAGGGCAGCACUUCAAGGCAAGCCUGGGCAACAUAGGGAGACCCUGUCCCUAUUAUUUUUUUUUUUUGAUGUUAAAAAAAAUUUAAUUUAAUUAAAUAAAAAUGGUUCCCAAGUCAAAGAGAAUAAAGAACCACAGAAGUUA